GGCCGCUGUGUUGACACGCUCUGCACCUUGCUCCUGCCCUCGCCUUUCACUCUUCUUAUGCCCCCGAUACCCCGAUCAUUCCUGACAGCUCCUGAGUGCCUGGAUUUCAUCAUCCAGCCCUGCAGGAUGCUCCCAUUUCUCCUGAGGAUGGCUGUCCCAGUUGGAGAAGAGGAGAUGGAGGUGGAUAUAGAGAUUGAUAGAGAGGAGGACAUGGAGACGGAGGGAGAAGACACUGGGGAGGAGGAGAUGGAGGUGGAGGUGAAGGUGGAAGAGGAGAUGGAAGUGGAUAUGGAAGAGUCCAUUGAGGACAUGGACAUUGAUUAAAAAGGUGUGAUGGACAGCACAGACAGAGACACCACCCUUGUGUAUAUAUGUUCUACACUUCGUUGUUGUUCUUUAGAAUAUAGAUUGUAGGGCUAUUUUUGACUUCUGUAAAUACGUUUCCCAUAGUUUUGCUAGGUAGGUUUUUCUUUAUAUAUGUUCUAUCGAUUGUUGUUGUUACAAAUAUUCUUACAAUGUAAAUAUGUUCUGUAUUUUUGCUGCUGUUCUUCUGUAAUAAACAAAUUUUAUUUUUCACA
Passer domesticus (house sparrow) is the source of this 578-nucleotide long non-coding RNA. RefSeq lists it as uncharacterized. Lineage: Eukaryota; Metazoa; Chordata; Aves; Passeriformes; Passeridae. The record is from RefSeq and is a predicted model, not a curated record. The transcript has 3 exons.